Molecule: ribosomal RNA, 254 nt
Filed under: uncultured bacterium
Lineage: Bacteria
Description: partial 16S ribosomal RNA
Rfam family: Bacterial small subunit ribosomal RNA
Source: RNAcentral
UACGUAGGGGGCGAGCGUUGUCCGAAGUUACUGGGCGUAAAGCGCGCGUAGGCGGUCUUUUAAGUCUGGUGUGAAAGGUUCAGGGCUCAACCCGAACAGUGCACUGGAUACUGGGAGACUUGAGUAUGGGAGAGGAGAGCGGAAUUCCUGGUGUAGCGGUGAAAUGCGUAGAUAUCAGGAGGAACACCGAUGGCGAAGGCAGCUCUCUGGCCUGUAACUGACGCUGAGGUGCGAAAGCGUGGGGAGCGAACAGG